RNAcentral lists this Y RNA (99 nucleotides) under Propithecus coquereli (Coquerel's sifaka). Its description in RNAcentral is "Y RNA (ENSPCOG00000000408.1)". It matches the Rfam family "Y RNA". From Rfam's summary of the family: Y RNAs are components of the Ro ribonucleoprotein particle (Ro RNP), in association with Ro60 and La proteins. The Y RNAs and Ro60 and La proteins are well conserved, but the function of the Ro RNP is not known. In humans the RNA component can be one of four small RNAs -- hY1, hY3, hY4 and hY5. Lineage: Eukaryota; Metazoa; Chordata; Mammalia; Primates; Indriidae. The record is from Rfam by way of RNAcentral.
GGUUGGUCUGAGUAUAGUGGUGUUUACAACUACUUGAUCACAACCAGUUACAGAUUCCUUUGUUCCUCCACUCCCACUGCUUCACUUGACUAGCCUUAA